Molecule: ribosomal RNA, 244 nt
Filed under: uncultured Actinomycetales bacterium
Lineage: Bacteria; Bacillati; Actinomycetota; Actinomycetes; Actinomycetales
Description: partial 16S ribosomal RNA
Rfam family: Bacterial small subunit ribosomal RNA
Source: RNAcentral
GCUCGAGUGGCGAGCGGGUGAGUAACACGUGAGUAACCUGCCCUUGACUUGGGGAUAACUUCAGGAAACUGGGGCUAAUACCGGAUAGGAGCUCCUGCUGCAUGGUGGGGGUUGGAAAGUUUCGGCGGUUGGGGAUGGACUCGCGGCUUAUCAGCUUGUUGGUGGGGUAGUGGCUUACCAAGGCUUUGACGGGUAGCCGGCCUGAGAGGGUGACCGGCCACAUUGGGACUGAGAUACGGCCCAG